Molecule: ribosomal RNA, 731 nt
Filed under: uncultured bacterium
Lineage: Bacteria
Description: bacterial SSU rRNA
Rfam family: Bacterial small subunit ribosomal RNA
Source: RNAcentral
GUAGCUUUGGCCUCUGACCGAGGAGGAGCCCGCGGUGGAUUAGCUUGUUGGUGGGGUAAUGGCUUACCAAGGCGACGAUCCAUAGCUGGUCUGAGAGGACGAUCAGCCACACUGGGACUGAGACACGGCCCAGACUCCUACGGGAGGCAGCAGUGGGGAAUCUUGCGCAAUGGGCGAAAGCCUGACGCAGCGACGCCGCGUGAGGGAAGAAGGCCUUCGGGUUGUAAACCACUUUCAGGAGGGACGAAGCCACUCGGGUUAAUAGCCCAGAGGGUGACGGUACCUCCAGAAGAAGCGCCGGCUAACUACGUGCCAGCAGCCGCGGUAAUACGUAGGGGGCAAGCGUUGUCCGGAUUUAUUGGGCGUAAAGAGCGUGUAGGCGGCCAGAUAGGUCGGUUGUGAAAACUGGAGGCUCAACCUCCAGACGUCGACCGAAACCAUUUGGCUAGAGUCCGGAAGAGGAGAGUGGAAUUCCUGGUGUAGCGGUGAAAUGCGCAGAUAUCAGGAAGAACACCCGUGGCGAAGGCGGCUCUCUGGGACGGUACUGACGCUGAGACGCGAAAGCGUGGGGAGCGAACAGGAUUAGAUACCCUGGUAGUCCACGCCGUAAACGAUGGGUGCUAGGUGUGGGGGGUGUCGACUCCCCCCGUGCCGAAGCUAACGCAUUAAGCACCCCGCCUGGGGAGUACGGCCGCAAGGCUAAAACUCAAAGGAAUUGACGGAAUCGAAUU